UGUUGCUGUUUAAUAAGAUAAAAUUAAUCAGAAAAUGUUGGCAGUUGAUGUUCAGAUUCUCACUGCCAUCUUGAAAUAGUGUUUCAUCUUUAGAUUUGCUGUACCUUAUUCUACAUGUCAGUGCUAUUAUUUUGUAUGCAGAUAACAGAACCUUAAAAGCCAGUUGUGAAACUUUGGAGACUAGGGUUGCGAUUAACUUUGUUCUGUAUUGAAUAUGGAACUUGGUUAGUAAAAUAUAAUGCAGACACAUAACUUCCCAGGUUAGCAUCUCAAGGAACUGGAGUCUCCAGAAUUGUUGAUGUGUGUUUUGCAAGGUAUUGUGUCUGACAUGAGGUCCUAAGUCUGACAUUUAUGUUCUUUAAGAUGGUACAAUUUUUGAGGUGGAGGGUGGGCUCAUAAAUGUUGUGAUCUAUGUAUGGAAUCUGCUGGCUUUGAAAAGUUACAUGGUGUUUUUAAAAAAGAAAGUAUUAAAUACUGUAAAUAUUUUUAUAAUGUUGUUAUUAGAGAGGGAUAGCUAUAGUUGUAUUCCAAGAGUCUCUCUUAACAUACAUAUGACUUACAGAUGGUAAUAUGACUGCUGCAGUGUCACUUGUUAAAAGGAGUAAUAGUCGGGGAAUUCAGUAGUUCAGUACGGGGAAAAAGACCAAUGGAAGGUCACGUGUGCAGCCCCACAGGUUGAGAUGGUUCUGGCUUUUGUGGUGCUGACACAAGGUGCACCUUCUCAAGAACAUAGAUCGGCAGAAGCAAUGUAUUGUAAGAUCUCCAGUUACAGGUGAGUGACCUUUUUUUCAGAUUAGAGGGGUUUCUUUUUUCUCUUUAUAUUUUAAAUCGCAUAGGCUCUGAACCUCAGUGCUUCUAUUUCUGUUUCACAUUCCUGCACUAGGUGAAUAACGAGGAGAUUUGAUGAGUAAAAGGAAAAGCAUCUAUUAGUUAUUUUGAAGUUGAAAUGCUAAUAUUUUGGAUACUAAGUAUUGAAAACAAAGGUGUCAUAAUUUUAAUCAGCUUGCUGAUUGUCUUCACAUGUAAAUUCUACAUUUGAAAAUGCUGUAACUUUGAUAGUGGUUUUGAAUAUGUUUAGUGGAUGUUGAAUUACCUGUUUACCUGCCCACUGCCAUUGAUAUGCUUUAAGCAGAGAAUUCUGCUUACUGCUUCCAGUUUAGAUCAGGUGUUCCUGUCUUAUAGUGACUAUUUAACAACGUAGGAACAUUUUAGGUAUCACUAUAGGCAAUCAAAUGCAUUAAAAAUCACUGAUAUUUCUUGCAAGUUAAAUAUGAAUUGUCGGCUGUGACAAAUGUGUGCGUUUGUUUUACAGGAUGGAGAAGUAGAUGCCAAAAAACUGCAGAGAUACCUAAUGCAGUCUGGAAUCAGUGGAACCUGUUAUUGUAAGAGUGGCUUUGUUCAUGGUGAGUUUACCACCAGCAGUAUAAGCAUUAGAUAUCAGAGCUUCCAUUAAACAUUCCCAGUUUCUCAAAAGGAAAAUUAAGAUAAAGUUCUUGCAGCACACCAUGGCAUUCUGAGAGCUGAACUGCUGGAGGAAAAGAGGAUCACCAACCUGCCAAAGUUCAUGUUUGGAAGAACUGUGAAUGAAAGCUAUUGUAGAGUUUUUAGCCUUUCUGCUUGAUAAGGCAAGGCUCUCUGAAUGAAUACUUCAAAAUUUAAGUGCACGAUUCACAGCAAUAAGUAUUUUUUUUUUUUGCGUUUUACUGUAUUUAAAGCAUGACUUUUUUUGUCUGUACGUGCAUAAUUCCAGACAAGUAAAUUAUGUUAAACUCAAGAGCUUAAUGAAAAAGGAAAAGCUUAUGAUCAUAAGCUUUUAAAUUGUGUCUUAUAAAUGAGUAGCUUGCUUGCACAAAUGAAACAACUAAUAGCCUAAAUGCUCUAUAUGUUUUUUCAUUAGUAGUGGCAUACUGUCUUAGACAGCAUACUCGGAAAAAUUCUGCUGGUUUGGAGAAAAUAGGUAAGUGUAUUCCAUUAAAAAGACAAAAUGUUCUAGCUAAAACUUUCGUACAGCUCCAGCUUGUUGCAAUACAGUGGUUUUUUGUUUGUUUGUUUGAGGCAAGCUCAGAUAAUACUAUUUGAAUUUUAAUCCCAUCUAUGGCUUUUCCUCAAGGAGAUCUGUGGGUGUGGUCUUCUGUUUUGUUUUUUUUUGUGUGUGUGUGUGCGUUUUUGUGGGUUUUGGUCGUUUUAUUUAUUUUUAAGAGCUCUGCUUGUCUCAAAAGCUUUCAGUGGCUAUUUAUCUGGAUCAAUAAAAUCACUCUCUGAAUAGGUCUUGCAUGGUAAACCCAUUCCAUGAUUCACUUUAAAUUCUCUAAAAUAAAAUGGUUCAAGCAAUGGAAGUGUCUGGCUUAAAGUUAGAUAUUUAAACAGCACUUUUGAUCAAAAUAUUUUGUGAAAAUUCGGGCCUCAAUGGAUAGCAGUUGUCAGCUUUAUUACCCAGAUUUUGUAACUAGAUGUUAGAUUUUUGAAUUCCUCAGCUGGUGAAUUUAGAGGGUGUAGGUAUGGGUAUAACUUCCUGUUCUACUUGAAAGAUGGAGGUCAGUGUGAUACAUGGAGAUUGCUGUGUGCAUAGGAUCUUCUGAAAAUGCCUAAUUUUGUGAGUCUGUUCUGUGUGCUUCAAGCCAGUGAGUGGUGCCCUGUGUAAUCCUGUGCUUUUACAUUUAUUCCCUUGGUGUUAUGAGUGUACUAAAUAUAUUUUUUUUUCUUAGUGUUUUUGGCACAGAUACAUAUGUUUUGUAUUCUGUUAGUGGUGUUUACAUUAUAGUAACUGUUCAAGUCAGUCACAAAUGAAAUGUUCACAACCUGUUUCUUAUGACUGAAAUAAAUUCAUUAAGUUUAUUUGUGCAUAUUUAGAUUUGUUGCAAACACGUUUUCAUGGUAAUAUAAAAUACUGAAUAUACGCGCAGUGUACAAGUGCUUUUAUUUAUACAUUAAACAAUUUUCCAGGAGGUCUUUUCUGAAAGCAAAAUAGUAACAUAUUAACUGCACUGUACAAAAACCUGUUAUACAAACAGGAUUUGCUACAGCUCAUAGUGAAAUAUUUAUCUAGACUAAGUUUUCAAAAUUUUCUUUGUAUUUCCAACUUUACAAUAUCAUAAAGCUUCAGUAUAGAUAAUGUAAAUAAUGCAUAAGAGGGGCAACUGCUUCCUGUGGGAGGGUUUAAUUUGGUCCAUCUAAUUUCCAUUCCAAAGAGAAUAGCCAUAUUCUGCAUUCAUUAAGAAUCAAAGAACUUCCCAAGUGGGCAUUACCCACCCCCCACCCCCAAAUAGCUAGAUGAAGAAAAAUGUUUCUUCAUUAAUAAUGCAGUUCUAUCCACUAAUAUGUAAAGGUACAGUGAGAAAAGGUAAGCUUGCCAUAGUGAUGUCUUCAUGCAAUUACAAGCCCCAGGACAUGCUUUUUUUUGUAUCAUUGAUAAAACUCAGUGUGUCCUUGAUUUUUCAUAUGUGAUCUGUUCUGUGGAUCUUGUUUGGUUUUUCUCCCAAUAAGCUAUUUGCUGUUUAACUUCUAAUAUAGACUCUUUCAAGUCUAGAAAACAAACUAUGUAUAGAGUAGAUGUAGCAUAUGACACUGGGACAGCUGUAUGAUAAAGUACAUUUCUUUCCUAGUACACCUGAAGAAAAUUUUAGGUUCAGAGUGAUCAUGUUUAAAGGACCUUCUGCAUGCUCUUUUUAUUCCAAGUAAGUAAGAAGCUACUUAAAAAUUAAUUCUGUGUCUGGACAGCUGUUGGAAGAUAUGCCGAUGGCUGCAUACCAAGUCUGUCUCCAAUCUGAAUCAGUUUAACAAUUUACCAGUAUUUUAAUUAAAAAUUUGAUGUUAAAUUUGAAAGAGAGACUAGGUCCCUUGCUAUUUCUGCAUGGUUGGUAGAUACUACAGAUCAAGUGAGUUCAUCACUCUGUAUUUUAGAAGAGGUAAGAGUAAGCUAAUAGGAAGCAUUGAGGUUGCAUUUUCAUUUGUGUGCAAAAAAGGAGUGACACACACC
Molecule: long non-coding RNA, 3976 nt
Organism: Athene cunicularia (burrowing owl)
Lineage: Eukaryota; Metazoa; Chordata; Aves; Strigiformes; Strigidae
Exons: 3
Source: RefSeq, a predicted model, not a curated record